CUCUCCCUUUUAAAUAGUAUUUUCUUGGAUUUUCCUUCUGUUCUUGUUUUAUUUGUCUAAUUAGUUAUUUUUUGCUUUAUGACCACCUGUUUCUUAUUUUUUGGGUGAAGACUUGAUUAAAUCUUCAACAAUUUCUUGAGUAAGUAAAGAUGGUGCUUGAACUUGUACUAAAAAUCAUAUCUGAUGCCACUGUUGAUGCUCUAUUGUGACUGAACUAUUACAAGCUGUUUGACAGGAGACGGAAAUCACAAGAUAUUGCAUGGAACCAAUGCAAACCAUUCAACAAUUUAGUCAUCUUGCUGGUUAGUAUGGACCCUUGUUGAAGAUCUAUGCUGGAACCAGAACACCUGCAGACGCAGAAAGUACGAGUUCAGGACUGUUGAAACUGCUGGAGUAUUUUCAGGAAGUUCAGAUGUGUUCUUACCAUCAAGAAGGCGAAAUUUCGACAGAUUUUAUACUCUUAUCAGUGGACUGUUACGAGGCCUUUUGCAGCUAGCUGUCCUAUCUACUGUAGUCCUCUGUGUUUUGCUCUGGAAAUGCUAGAUAGUUAUAGGGAUGUGAUUAGUACUAGGACCAAAAGGGUACUCCUGGCUUGUUGCGAUUAUGUAAACUCUUACGACUGUUUCUGUACGAUGGUUGCUAAAUUUGCUUUUUGCUUCCUAAAGAAUCUUACAACAUACCACAUUGUCAAGCUCUACGCAUGGAUGAUUCAUUCUAGAACUCAACCCUUUGGCAGCAACCUUAGGAUAUCAGUUGAUAUUGUAUUAGGUUAUAUUGGAUCAAUUCAAACUCAUGACCUAAA
Non-coding RNA from Coffea arabica (coffee), 802 nucleotides. Lineage: Eukaryota; Viridiplantae; Streptophyta; Magnoliopsida; Gentianales; Rubiaceae. The record is from RefSeq and is a predicted model, not a curated record.